RNAcentral lists this transfer RNA (72 nucleotides) under Zebrias zebra (zebra sole). Its description in RNAcentral is "tRNA-Ser". Lineage: Eukaryota; Metazoa; Chordata; Actinopteri; Pleuronectiformes; Soleidae. The record is from RNAcentral.
GAGAGAGGCUCGACAGCAAUGAAAACUGCUAACUUUCACACCCUUGGUUAAACCCCAAGGCUCACUCAUAAU